This 253-nucleotide ribosomal RNA is filed under the name uncultured bacterium. RNAcentral describes it as "partial 16S ribosomal RNA". It matches the Rfam family "Bacterial small subunit ribosomal RNA", at positions 524 to 776 of the family's 1533-position model. The record is from RNAcentral.
UACGGAGGGUGCAAGCGUUGUUCGGAAUUAUUGGGCGUAAAGCGCGUGUAGGCGGCUAUUUAAGUCUGAUGUGAAAGCCCGGGGCUCAACCUCGGAAGUGCAUUGGAAACUGUGGGACUUGAGUUUAGGAGGGGGAGCUGGAAUUCCAGGUGUAGGGGUGAAAUCUGUAGAUAUUCGAAGGAACACCGGUGGCGAAGGCGGCUACCUGGACCGAUACUGACGCUGAGACGCGAAAGCGUGGGGAGCAAACAGG